AUACGAAGGGUGCAAGCGUUAAUCGGAAUUACUGGGCGUAAAGCGCGCGUAGGUGGUUCGUUAAGUUGGAUGUGAAAGCCCCGGGCUCAACCUGGGAACUGCAUCCAAAACUGGCGAGCUAGAGUACGGUAGAGGGUGGUGGAAUUUCCUGUGUAGUGGUGAAAUGCGUAGAUAUAGGAAGGAACACCGGUGGCGAAGGCGACCACCUGGACUGAUACUGACACUGAGGUGCGAAAGCGUGGGGAGC
This 247-nucleotide ribosomal RNA is filed under the name uncultured bacterium. Its description in RNAcentral is "partial 16S ribosomal RNA". It matches the Rfam family "Bacterial small subunit ribosomal RNA", at positions 523 to 769 of the family's 1533-position model. The record is from RNAcentral.